CCUACGGGAGGCUGCAGUCGAGAAUCUUCCGCAAUGGGCGCAAGCCUGACGGAGCGACGCCGCGUGGAGGAUGAAGGCCUUCGGGUUGUAAACUCCUGUCACGGGUUAUGAACGGACGCAGUUGAACAGGCUGUGUAUUGACGUAAGCCCGUAAGGAAGCACCGGCUAACUCUGUGCCAGCAGCCGCGGUAAUACAGAGGGUGCGAACGUUGUUCGGAAUUACUGGGCAUAAAGCGCGCGUAGGCGGCGACGCAAGUGUCGGGUGAAAUCCCACGGCUCACCCGUGUGAAUUGCCUGGCAUACUGCGUUGCUCGAGUGUGGUAGGGGAGAGCGGAACUCCUGGUGGAGCGGUGAAAUGCGUAGAUAUCAGGAGGAACACCGGUGGCGAAGGCGGCUCUCUGGUCCACUACUGACGCUGAAGUGCGAAAGCUAGGGUAGCG
This 440-nucleotide ribosomal RNA is filed under the name uncultured bacterium. RNAcentral describes it as "bacterial SSU rRNA". It matches the Rfam family "Bacterial small subunit ribosomal RNA", at positions 338 to 770 of the family's 1533-position model. The record is from RNAcentral.